Molecule: ribosomal RNA, 700 nt
Filed under: uncultured bacterium
Lineage: Bacteria
Description: bacterial SSU rRNA
Rfam family: Bacterial small subunit ribosomal RNA
Source: RNAcentral
AGAGUUUGAUCAUGGCUCAGAACGAACGCUGGCGGCAGGCUUAACACAUGCAAGUCGAGCGAAGGCUUCGGCCUUAGCGGCGGACGGGUGAGUAACGCGUGGGAACGUGCCCUUUCCUCCGGAAUAGCCCAGGGAAACUUGGAUUAAUGCCGGAUACGCCCGAGAGGGGAAAGAUUUAUCGGGGAAGGAUCGGCCCGCGUUGGAUUAGGUAGUUGGUGGGGUAAUGGCCUACCAAGCCGACGAUCCAUAGCUGGUUUGAGAGGAUGAUCAGCCACACUGGGACUGAGACACGGCCCAGACUCCUACGGGAGGCAGCAGUGGGGAAUCUUGGACAAUGGGGGAAACCCUGAUCCAGCCAUGCCGCGUGAACGAUGAAGGCCCUAGGGUUGUAAAGUUCUUUCAGCGAGGAAGAUAAUGACGGUACUCGCAGAAGAAGCCCCGGCUAACUCCGUGCCAGCAGCCGCGGUAAUACGGAGGGGGCUAGCGUUGUUCGGAAUUACUGGGCGUAAAGCGCACGUAGGCGGAUUGGAAAGUUGGGGGUGAAAUCCCGGGGCUCAACCCCGGAACUGCCUUCAAAACUUCCAGUCUGGAGUCCGAGAGAGGUGAGUGGAAUUCCGAGUGUAGAGGUGAAAUUCGUAGAUAUUCGGAGGAACACCAGUGGCGAAGGCGGCUCACUGGCUCGGUACUGACGCUGAGGUGC